GAUGAAGAACGUAGCGAAAUGCGAUAAGUAGUGUGAAUUGCAGAAUUCAGUGAAUCAUCGAAUCUUUGAACGCACAUUGCGCCCCUUGGUAUUCCAUGGGGCAUGCCUGUUCGAGCGUCAUUUGUACCUUCAAGCUUUGCUUGGUGUUGGGUGUUUGUCCUGAGGGACUCGCCUUAAAGUAAUUGGCAGCCGGCCUACUGGUUUCGGAGCGCAGCACAAGUCGCACUCUCUAUCAGCAAAGGUCUAGCAUCCAUUAAGCCUUUUUUUCAACUUUUGACCUCGGAUCAGGUAGGGAUACCCGCUGAACUUAAGCAUAUCAAUAAGCGGAGGA
This 331-nucleotide unclassified non-coding RNA is filed under the name soil metagenome. RNAcentral describes it as "partial contains 5.8S ribosomal RNA, internal transcribed spacer 2, and large subunit ribosomal RNA". The stretch from base 1 to 120 matches the Rfam family "5.8S ribosomal RNA", at positions 35 to 154 of the family's 154-position model. The record is from RNAcentral.